This 301-nucleotide ribosomal RNA is filed under the name uncultured bacterium. RNAcentral's name for it is "partial 16S ribosomal RNA". It matches the Rfam family "Bacterial small subunit ribosomal RNA", at positions 509 to 807 of the family's 1533-position model. The record is from RNAcentral.
CAGUAGCCGCGGGAAUACAGAGGGUGCGAGCGUUAAUCGGAUUUACUGGGCGUAAAGCGUGCGUAGGCGGCUUUUUAAGUCGGAUGUGAAAUCCCUGAGCUUAACUUAGGAAUUGCAUUCGAUACUGGGAAGCUAGAGUAUGGGAGAGGAUGGUAGAAUUCCAGGUGUAGCGGUGAAAUGCGUAGAGAUCUGGAGGAAUACCGAUGGCGAAGGCAGCCAUCUGGCCUAAUACUGACGCUGAGGUACGAAAGCAUGGGGAGCAAACAGGAUUAGAGACCCCGGUAGUCCCUGUCUCUUAUAC